UAGGGAAUCUUCGGCAAUGGACGAAAGUCUGACCGAGCAACGCCGCGUGAGUGAAGAAGGUUUUCGGAUCGUAAAACUCUGUUGUUAGAGAAGAACAAGGACGUUAGUAACUGAACGUCCCCUGACGGUAUCUAACCAGAAAGCCACGGCUAACUACGUGCCAGCAGCCGCGGUAAUACGUAGGUGGCAAGCGUUGUCCGGACUUAUUGGGCGUAAAGCGAGCGCAGGCGGUUUCUUAAGUCUGAUGUGAAAGCCCCCGGCUCAACCGGGGAGGGUCAUUGGAAACUGGGAGACUUGAGGGCAGAAGGGGGGAGUGGAAUUCCAUGUGUAGCGGUGAAAGGCGUAGAUAUAUGGAGGAACACCAGGGGCGAAGGCGGCUCUCUGGUCUGUAACGGACGCUGAGGCUCGAAAGCGUGGGGAGCAAACAGG
RNAcentral lists this ribosomal RNA (429 nucleotides) under Gemmatimonadota bacterium. Its description in RNAcentral is "Gemmatimonadetes bacterium partial 16S ribosomal RNA". It matches the Rfam family "Bacterial small subunit ribosomal RNA", at positions 355 to 776 of the family's 1533-position model. The record is from RNAcentral. Lineage: Bacteria; Pseudomonadati; Gemmatimonadota.